CUAACUAUGACAUAUUGUUGAUAAAGGUGAAAAAGAAGCAAUUAUGGCAUGUUAUUUUUGCUUUAGUUAAAGCUUUUAUCAAUCAAUUUCCAACAUUAUUAGCGGCAGAUUUGCUUAAAGAUAAAAAAAAUUCAUCACAAGCAACUCCAGACAAUGACUAAGCAAAAGAAAAAAUGGUCGUUUUCCCAAUGAAUUAAUAUAUUUUGUUGGAGGCCAUGAAUAUGGG
Molecule: long non-coding RNA, 226 nt
Filed under: Durio zibethinus
Lineage: Eukaryota; Viridiplantae; Streptophyta; Magnoliopsida; Malvales; Malvaceae
Description: long non-coding RNA (DZIB_LNC000975)
Source: RNAcentral